CAACCUUCGACGAUUACCAGUUGAGCCUGCCACUACAAAUGAACUAACUUCAGCAGUCACGGACGGGCAAAUAUCUUCCACUACCGUUGGACCUCUCAUCUACCCAGGGACUGAAAGUACAACUGCAGAGCCAACUGACUCCACAACUGAGGCGGGCAGACCCUUGAAGAUCACACAACAACGUUAGAAAUGACAACAAUUCCAGAUGAAACAAUUACCAUUAUUACACAAGGACCAUCAGCUAGCUCAACGAUAGAAGCAAUAACCACAACACAGUCUCCAACUCCACCAUCUACCACACCCUUUUUAACUACUGAAACUACAUUACCUUUCACAACCACACCCAACACACCUUCUUCAACUACAUCAACUACCCCACCUACCACAACUACCCUAAUUACAUCAACUACCCCACCUACCACACCUUCUUCAACUACAUCAACUACCCCACCUACCACACCUUCUUCAACUACAUCAACUACCCCACCUACCACAACUACCCUAAUUACAUCAACUACCCCACCUACCACAACUACCCUAAUUACAUUAACUACCCCACACCACACCUCCAACUACGUUAACUACAUCAACUACACCUACCACACUUUCUCCAACUACCCUAACUACAUCAACUACAUCAUCUACUACACCUAUCCCCCUGCCCCUUCUACUACACCUACUUCAACUACCCCUUCUACCACACCUAUCCCAACUACCCCUUCUACAACACCUACCCAACUACUACACCUACUUCAACUCCCCCUUCUACUACACCUACCCCAAAUACCCUUCUACAACACCUACCCCAACUACUACACCUACUUCAACUACCCCUUCUACGAUACCAACUUCAACUACCCCUUCUACUACACCUACCCAAACGAACCCUUCUACUGCACCCACUCCAACUUCUACAACUGCAUCUCCUUCAUUGACGUCACCUUCACUCUCAACAACUGGACCUCCGAUACUUGUAACUGUGGACACCAUUGAAGUAUCAACAGACGUCACUGUUAGACUCAACAAAACAUUUAAAAAGAAUACAGUGACCCAUUAACACAGGAAUACCAAGAUUUUACAGAAAAUUUCACUAACGACAUGACCUUACUGUACAACCGCACUAUCAACAAUUUUAUCGGCAUAGUAAUAAUAGGACUCAGGAAUGGCAGUGUCGUGGUGGAGCAUGUGGUUCUACUGCGCAUAGAGAAUGGGAAGAAUUUAAAGUCAUGAGAUUGCUGAGUCAGAACAACAGAUCAAGGACAUUCUCAACGAGGCAAAAACUGCACCACAGG
Long non-coding RNA from Salvelinus sp. IW2-2015, 1292 nucleotides. RefSeq lists it as uncharacterized. NCBI's taxonomy places the organism in Eukaryota, Metazoa, Chordata, Actinopteri, Salmoniformes, Salmonidae. The record is from RefSeq and is a predicted model, not a curated record.